GUUGGGUAGCCAGCUUUACCUACGGUGGAAGGCUGGUUAAACCGUUUGGUUUACGACCACAACGACCCGGGUUCGAUCCCCGCACUGGACA
Molecule: transfer RNA, 91 nt
Filed under: Cordylochernes scorpioides
Lineage: Eukaryota; Metazoa; Arthropoda; Arachnida; Pseudoscorpiones; Chernetidae
Description: tRNA-Val
Source: RNAcentral